AUGGGAAAGUGUGUGUCCUGGGACCAGCAUCAGAUCUUUUGGGGCUGCCCUGUGGUUCCAACACAGCUGUUCAGUAAGGACUAUUCACUCAAAGAAAUCCAGGCCUUGGGGCUGGGCCCUGUGCUCACUGAUGGGGACUUAGCAGCUGUGUCCUCUCUGGCCUGGCAGAAUUCCCUGAGCAGGGACCUGUGUAUGGUCUCAACAGAGCAGUGUCACCAUGCCUGGACUCCUCUCCUCUUCCUGCUCCUCUCUCACUGCACAGGUUCCCUCUCCCAGUCUGUGGUGACUCAGCCGCCUCCCUCUCAGCAUCUCCUGGAGCAUCAGCCAGACUCACCUGCACCUUGCGCAGUGGCAUCAAUGUUGGUAGCUACAGGAUAUCCUGGUACCAGCAGAAGCCAGGGAGUCCUCCCCAGUAUCUCCUGAACUACUACUCAGACUCAGAUAAGGGCCAGGGCUCUGGAGUCCCCAGCCGCUUCUCUGGAUCCAAAGAUGCUUCGACCAAUGCAGGGAUUUCACUCAUCUCCGGGCUCCAGUCUGAGGAUGAGGCUGACUAUUACUGUAUGAUCUGGCACAGCAGCGCUUCUCACAGUGACACACACAGAUGGGGAACUGGGACGAAAACCUCGCGCUGA
Molecule: RNA transcript, 632 nt
Organism: Nomascus leucogenys (northern white-cheeked gibbon)
Lineage: Eukaryota; Metazoa; Chordata; Mammalia; Primates; Hylobatidae
Gene name: immunoglobulin lambda variable 5-45-like
Exons: 3
Source: RefSeq, a predicted model, not a curated record